CGGGGUAUGGCGCAGCCUGGUAGCGCAUCUGCUUUGGGAGCAGAGGGUCGCAGGUUCAAAUCCUGCUGCCCCGACCA
This 77-nucleotide transfer RNA is filed under the name Gammaproteobacteria bacterium. RNAcentral's name for it is "tRNA-Pro". It matches the Rfam family "tRNA". From Rfam's summary of the family: Transfer RNA (tRNA) molecules are approximately 80 nucleotides in length. Their secondary structure includes four short double-helical elements and three loops (D, anti-codon, and T loops). Lineage: Bacteria; Pseudomonadati; Pseudomonadota; Gammaproteobacteria. The record is from RNAcentral.